GUCGUCAGCUCGUGUCGUGAGAUGUUGGUUAAGUCCGCAACGAGCGCAACCCCUAUUGUUAGUUGCCAUCAUUCAGUUGGGCACUCUAGCGAGACUGCCGGUAAUAAACCGGAGGAAGGUGGGGAUGACGUCAAAUCAUCAUGCCCCUUAUGACCUGGGCUACACACGUGCUACAAUGGUUGGUACAACGAGUUGCGAGUCGGUGACGGCGAGCUAAUCUCUUAAAGCCAAUCUCAGUUCGGAUUGUAGGCUGCAACUCGCCUACAUGAAGUCGGAAUCGCUAGUAAUCGCGGAUCAGCACGCCCGCGGUCGAAUACGUUCCCGGGCCUU
Molecule: ribosomal RNA, 330 nt
Filed under: uncultured Streptococcus sp.
Lineage: Bacteria; Bacillati; Bacillota; Bacilli; Lactobacillales; Streptococcaceae
Description: bacterial SSU rRNA
Rfam family: Bacterial small subunit ribosomal RNA
Source: RNAcentral